CAGACCUCUAAUCGGAAAAGACUACCCGCUGAGUUUAAGCAUAUCACUAAGCGGAGGAGAAGCAAC
RNAcentral lists this ribosomal RNA (66 nucleotides) under Hamatocaulis vernicosus. RNAcentral's name for it is "partial 25S ribosomal RNA". It matches the Rfam family "Eukaryotic large subunit ribosomal RNA", at positions 1 to 65 of the family's 3401-position model. Lineage: Eukaryota; Viridiplantae; Streptophyta; Bryopsida; Hypnales; Calliergonaceae. The record is from RNAcentral.